This 253-nucleotide ribosomal RNA is filed under the name uncultured bacterium. Its description in RNAcentral is "partial 16S ribosomal RNA". It matches the Rfam family "Bacterial small subunit ribosomal RNA", at positions 524 to 776 of the family's 1533-position model. The record is from RNAcentral.
UACGGAGGGUGCGAGCGUUGUCCGGAAUCACUGGGCGUAAAGGGCGCGUAGGCGGCUUUUUAAGGGUGCGGUGAAAGCCCGGGGCUUAACCCCGGGUCGGCCGUGCCGACUGAAAAGCUGGAGCACUGUAGAGGCAGGUGGAAUUCCGGGUGUAGCGGUGGAAUGCGUAGAGAUCCGGAAGAACACCAGUGGCGAAGGCGGGUCUCUGGGCCGAUAUUGACGCUGAGGAGCGAAAGCGUGGGGAGCGAACAGG